UCUCUACAGGUCAGUGGAUGGCAC
RNAcentral lists this unclassified non-coding RNA (24 nucleotides) under Mus musculus (house mouse). Its description in RNAcentral is "oocyte_clustered_small_RNA13651". The record is from RNAcentral. Lineage: Eukaryota; Metazoa; Chordata; Mammalia; Rodentia; Muridae.